Musca domestica (house fly) is the source of this 1216-nucleotide long non-coding RNA. RefSeq lists it as uncharacterized. The record is from RefSeq and is a predicted model, not a curated record. Lineage: Eukaryota; Metazoa; Arthropoda; Insecta; Diptera; Muscidae. The transcript has 2 exons.
UGGGGCCUAAUGCUCGUACUCGAUAUAGAGUGAGAUUUUGUUCGAAGUUAAAUUACGAUCCGUAGUUACUAAUUGAAUGAUACGACUCGAAUGGAAUUAUUCAAAAAUUUAUCGAUUAUUGUCAAAAAAUAAUCGAAAUACCGACAAUCGAAACAUAUGUUUUCAUCCAAAAAGUAAACAAAACAAUUGUUUGCCGCUUCAUUAAAAGUUAAAAAAAAUUUUGGAUACGUGUUUUUUUGUAUUAUCCUCUUCGGAAGAUGAGGACGGUAAUAAUAUAAAUAUAAUAAGAAGACAAAUUCGAGAACGUAGUGACCCCUUAUCAUUGUCAGAAAAUGCAUUCCGUCAACGAUUUAGACUGACAAAAGAUGCUUUUCGAUAUGUGUUAUCUAGACUAGAUUUCUCCGGACAUAUGUCAUCGUCCAUUCCGGCAGUUCUACAAUUGGCAUCAACUUUGUCACUCUUGGCCAGUGGAAGUUUUCAGCACACUGUGGGUAAUGAUUUUCUUAUAGGAAUGAGCCAAAGCGCAACCUGCAGGGUUGUCCAGCGAGUCGCAAAAGAAAUGGAACUAAAACUUUGUCCAGAACACAUCAACUUUUCACCAGACCAGUCGGCUUUGUGUAUGGAACAUUUCUGUACAAAGUUUCGGAUUCCUGGAGGUAAGAAUAUAUUGACUUUUUCGAUUCUAAAAUAAAAUAAUAUAUGCAUUUUUACAUUUUUUUGCACCAAAACUUUGGACUGAAGAAAGCCCCUCUACAGCCGCUGAUAAUCCUGCUGCUUCCAGUAUCAGCUCUUCUGAUUGGGUGAUGAGUUUUUCUUCAUAUGGGCCUCCACCUGUCUGAUUCUUUGAUGCCUUGUUAAAAGAUAAUUUCUUCUUAACAUGUUGUUUUUGGUCUGCAUAAACCUUGGAAAGGAAAACUGUGAAACAUAAUUUUUCAUACCACUUUUCAAUAUAUACCUUUCGCCACAAGGUGACAUUCUUUACGGGUGGUCCUGCUCCAUUUAAUUUGGUUGUCAACUGCUCCCACAAACGAUUUGAUGACGCUCUACCUUCUGGACAAUUCGAAAUUUUUCCUUUGGCAAGUCCCGGGUGGUCAGACAUAAAAUCUGCCAUAAUUGCCUUUUGCUUAAAAUUUAUUUUGUUGCAAUUCGUGCUCCUGUGAAAUAAAAGGCUCAAUUAUAUCCAUUUUAUUUAUAUAAUUACAUUUUUUAAUACUUA